UCCAGAGAUGGAUUGGUGCCUUCCAGGGAACAUUGAGACAGGUGCUGCAUGGCUGUCGUCAGCUCGUGGUAUCGUGAGAUGUUGGGUUAAGUCCCGUAACGAGCGCAAACCCUUGUCCUUAGUUACCAGCACGUUAUGGUGGGCACUCUAAGGAGACUGCCGGUGACAAACCGGAGGAAGGUGGGGAUGACGUCAAGUCAUCAUGGCCCUUACGGCCUGGGCUACACACGUGCUACAAUGGUCGGUACAAAGGGUUGCCAAGCCGCGAGGUGGAGCUAAUCCCAUAAAACCGAUCGUAGUCCGGAUCGAAGUCUGCAACUCGACUGCGUGAAGUCGGAAUCGCUAGUAAUCGCGAAUCAGAAUGUCGCGGUCAAUACGUUCCCGGGCCUUGUACACACCGCCCGU
This 405-nucleotide ribosomal RNA is filed under the name uncultured Pseudomonas sp. RNAcentral's name for it is "bacterial SSU rRNA". It matches the Rfam family "Bacterial small subunit ribosomal RNA", at positions 999 to 1397 of the family's 1533-position model. The record is from RNAcentral. Lineage: Bacteria; Pseudomonadati; Pseudomonadota; Gammaproteobacteria; Pseudomonadales; Pseudomonadaceae.